Molecule: ribosomal RNA, 371 nt
Filed under: Melanastera lucens
Lineage: Eukaryota; Metazoa; Arthropoda; Insecta; Hemiptera; Liviidae
Description: Diclidophlebia lucens partial large subunit ribosomal RNA
Rfam family: Eukaryotic large subunit ribosomal RNA
Source: RNAcentral
AAUUGAAAACGAGUCCGGCACUCGUCGAGGGANGAUGGCGACGGAUCCGGCCCCUUUCGGGGGGUGUCGCAGAUCGGCCCGCACUCCCGGGGUGCCUCGUUCGCCAGCCGGCAACGGCCGACGAGAGGUGCGCCCAGAGCACACACGCUAGGACCCGAAAGAUGGUGAACUAUGCCUGACCAGGACGAAGUCAGGGGAAACCCUGAUGGAGGUCCGAAACGAUUCUGACGUGCAAAUCGAUCGUCUGAGUUGGGUAUAGGGGCGAAAGACUAAUCGAACUAUCUAGUAGCUGGUUCCCUCCGAAGUUUCCCUCAGGAUAGCUGGCGCUCGGAGGUGAAUGAGAACGAAUGAAUGAGUCUCUUCCGGUAAAG